RNAcentral lists this transfer RNA (72 nucleotides) under Loxodonta africana (African savanna elephant). It matches the Rfam family "tRNA". From Rfam's summary of the family: Transfer RNA (tRNA) molecules are approximately 80 nucleotides in length. Their secondary structure includes four short double-helical elements and three loops (D, anti-codon, and T loops). Lineage: Eukaryota; Metazoa; Chordata; Mammalia; Proboscidea; Elephantidae. The record is from Rfam by way of RNAcentral.
GCAUUGCUGGUUCAGUGGUAGAAUUUUUUGCCUUUUGUUCAGGAGACCCAGGUUCGAUUCCUGGCCAAUGUA